Long non-coding RNA from Fukomys damarensis (Damara mole-rat), 4460 nucleotides. The record is from Ensembl. Lineage: Eukaryota; Metazoa; Chordata; Mammalia; Rodentia; Bathyergidae.
GGGGAAAUAAAUUUUGACUUCCAAGAUUUGCCAUAAAGGGCUGGGCAAAACAAAACAAUUGAGCUAUUCAAUGGCUUUCUGGAAGCUGUGAGGCUUUGCAGAGAAUAAGUUCCCAUGGGUUUAAUUACCAAUGGAUAUAAACUCUGGGUCUUGUUCCUGUUUUAUAAGCCGUGUAAAGCCUGUAUGGUGAGAGAGUGAGCUGAAAUUUCUGUGCUGUGUAGUUCCAGUAGAUAUGCAAAUUCAUUCAUUACUCACAAAGAGGGGAGAAGAAUUAGAUGUAUGGCCACAUUCUGUUGCUGCCAGAGCUACAGGUUGUGGAAAACAUGCAAAUUGGGAUCUGGCCUGGACAUCUGACCUACAAGCAACUGAAAUCCAGGUCGGGCAGUCCUGUGUGGAUGAAAGCUAUUGAGGAUUUAGUCACCCCUUAAUUGUUAGACAAAGAAGUAUCCCAAUUCAGUACAACGGCAUAUGAAAAACCAGAUUUCAAAGUUUUGGAGGAGGUCAAAAGUGAAUCAUCAGAUUACUCAUGUAUGGAUGAUGAAAAUGAUCCAGCAUGGUAAAAAAGAUGUUUUCAUAACGUAAGAGUGAUGAUGAUGAUGAUGACGAAGACUCCAACUUCACAUUGGCCAUGUGAGCCAAAUUCUGGUGACAGCACAAUGGAGCAAAAAUCGACUGAUACAGACACAGGGAUUGCAGACCUCCUUGAUUCAGAUGACAGAGAAAAUAACCAUACCAGGCUGUGUGGCUGUUGGGCAGAGGACAAGGACACCGAUCUGGUACUCGAAGGUCAGCCUCUGGGCCCAGAGCGAGGCCUAGAAGCCUGCGGAGAACAGCUGCAGGUACAAACCACAGCAUCCACAGAUCCUAAGCCAGCUCCUCGGUGUCUCAGGCUUGCGACAGACUCAUUUCCCCCUCAGCUGCGCAGUGUGCUGGUCCCACUCCUGGCCUCCUCACUGACCACUCACUACUACCCUUGGUCCUCCAGCUCACAGACACUCCUGACUCUGUUCCAUCCAUGUGGCUUCUGGUCCUCCACUCCACUGCCUCCCAAGUCAUGAGCCAUCCCUGCCCCCACUCCCUCUCCCCAUCCCUUCUCGUCCAGCUUAGAGUGCACUGAAUCAAAAAUGCCCUCCUUUCAAUUGAGAUAGUGAGAGUGGAACCCUCCCUCUGAGUGACCAUCAGUCAGGUGGGCACAUAUUUGUAGGUUAUUCACGUAUAUUUUAACCUGGUUACAUUUUUUUUUUAAAUGCCAUUGAGCAGAAAAAAAAACAAAAAACAAUUUGCAAAUGGAUGUAGACACUAUAGCACUGCUGAUACUGAUUGUCAAGUUUCUCUCUUUGAAGCAGAGGGGCCUCCUUUUUUUUCCCCCAAACAAAAUCUUCCCUGGUUCUCUAGUGGACACAGCAAGUAAGAGUGGCGCUUUUCCCACUGCAGCGGUACAGAGGCCUGGAGCCCACCGGCUGCUCCCCCUGGCUGCCCUUGAGCAAGCUCCCCGGAACGGGAGGGCUCCCAUGAGGUGACAGAUGAGAGCCACAGUGCCACACCGAGGCCCCCAUAGGGAACCAGUGCAAAGGGUGUCAGCAAAGCUGGUGAUUGGAUUGCACCAUCUUGCCAAACCCAGCCACCGUUCACAAUUUCGGGACAAUGCUUUGCUUGCUAAGAAAAUGCAAAUACCCCUAUACAUGCAUCUGAGAGCAUUUAAGAACUAAGAAUCACAGUGAACAGAAUUACAAGAGGCCUGUUUGCCUCUCCCCGCUUUCUGCAGGAGCCCAACUAAUGGGCCCCCCUGGGGAAACCUGCAGCCUGGCCACACUCACUCCUCCACCUCAUGAUUGAUUUAUUAAUCUCCCCAGGACUUGGGUUCCCAUCACGCCCUUUAUUAUUUUCACUAUCUUAUGCUUAUACACUAAUCAAUAGUCAUCUUGAAGUCAAGGAAGAAAGUUUAGUGUCUCCAAAUCUUUUGCGCUGCCAGCCAUGUCGGACUGUAUUAAAACAAACAAACAAAUAAAUAAAAACUGUUAAUAUUCCACACUGAACAAGGUCGUUAAUUGAAAAAAAUCUCAUUUAUAAAACCUCAGCCCCUGCCAAGUUACGGAGCAGCUGUUCCAUUCUGGUGCCUCUGGUGCGUUUCUGCGGGAAACCACUGAUUCCUCAGCUCCAAUCCAGCCGUCAAUGGUCACAGCCAGAGCAGAGCUGUCAGACUCCUAUCUAACUAGGGCUGUCUCCUUGCAUUUGUAAAAUGUGCAAUAUGUCUUGAGCAGAAAGCUUGAUGACUAGAGAAAAGGAUGAAAGAACGCUCCUAUUUAUGCAGGCAGAGCCCACCCUAAGAAUACAACUUCAAACCCUGGGGGGAGUCUGAGUGUGGGACCCAGCUCCUGAGGACAAGAUGGGGUUAUGGGGAAGAUAGAUUCCCCCCACUACCACCUUGAAAUGAUUCCAGGAUCACCAUGGUUAAGAGAUCACCGACUCAAGUGGGAAAGCCCGCCCACACCAAGGUGGAGACUAAGUUCCCAAGUAGCCCAAGGUGUAUUUGUGGACUUAAAACCUGGUGCAUUUACUCUGGAGAUGAAACACUCAUCGGGAAGAAACAGAAGUCUCAAUUUAGUAAUAAGUAGGCAGGACCUCUGGGUAAAGCUGAAAGCUGGCCCUGGGGAAGGAAGGAAACCAGGAGGCCUAUGAGAGUGAUGGGCAGCCCACUUACAGGUGGGGAAACGAAGCCUCACGGUCAAUGGCAGAUUGGCGGGAGAACAGAGAUCCAGACAAAGGCCCGUAAAGUCCCAACUGCAUCCUCUUCUAGUCUGACACUUGGUUACUGAGAACGCCGAAGUUAUAGAACGACGAUUUUCUUAUCAAUGUACUAAAGAACUCUCAAGGGUCAGAGAAAGAGGUUGCUAAACACUAGGAUCUGCCCAGGAAGGGAGCAGAUUCCUAGAGGGAAAACAGGAUGCAAGUAAGUAAAUACCCAAGUAGCUUCUGCACUUGAUCUUAGCCAAAAGGCUGAGAAGUGAUCCCAAGUAGCUUCUGAAAGCUCUGGAGGUACACCAAGGACAGCAGAAACGCUGAAGGACGGAGCAGACGUGCGUUUGUCUCCCACCGAGUCUGCCCUCUGCUUUGCUUCAAGGUUGUGCCUUUAGUCAACAGCAGGCCAUUUGUCACAGGAGCUUGCUGUGUGUUUUCUAACUGUCCCUCUCAGCUGUGCCAAGGUUGGCCAUUCCCCCCUCAGCUUCGAGAUGCCUCUCUCACACCACACAGGGAGUCAUGUUGCAGCCAGAGGUUGCCACUUCCUGUCCUCUCCCAUCCCUGCCCAGUAGGCAAGCCUCUCCUGGGGCCUGGGGCAGCUGGAGAGCCCUGGUGGAGAAAAAUGGAGCUGGGAAUCCCGGGGUGGGGGUGGGGACAGUGGGAAUUAGAUGAAGAACGAACAGGAAGUCACUGGGGGCAGAGAGCAUUUGGAGACUGAGGACCCUGGAUGAAGCCUGUUUCCUUUAAUAGUCAGAGAGUCCUCGGCAGCAGGCAGCUCUCCAGAUGUCAAUUUUAGCUCCUCCAAAGGGCUGGGGUUGAAAGGCUUAGCACCGAAAUAAAUACGCCGGAGGCUUAUCUUUUCUUCUUUUCAUCGCAAGUAUACAUUUUCUCACAACGUCACUAGAUUUUUUAAUACGUAUAAUUUUUAGAAAGCUUAAAAUAUUUAAAAAUCAUGAAGUAAUAGAAAAGAAUAAACAACGGAAACUAAAGAACACUGGCUUUGUUCUGUUUAUAUGUCUCACUGUCUCCUCCAGUUCUUGGCCCAACUCUUUAUAGAUCAUCACUAUGAGCAGUUUCCGGUCCCACCCCAUGACCCAUGUGCUUCCGGCUGACCUGUGUGCCUGAAGAUACACACACACACACAGACACACACACACACACACACACACACACACACAUGCACCUGGAGUUUCACCACCUGCCCCUGACCCUGGCUUCCGCCCGUGACCCGCCUGGCCUCCAGUCACAGUGAGAGACAGUUAGACUGCAUUUCUCCAGUCCUGCCUGACCCUGAGGAUUGUUUUUACAUGGCUACUCACUCUUUGGUUCCUCCUCUGUAAAUUGCCUGUUCUUGUCUUUUGUCCAAAUUUCUACUGAGUUGUCUUUUUCACUGAGAUUUUAUAAGAACUCUUGUAACAUUUCUUUUACUUUGAUAACCUGUCAGAGUACUCUUUCCUUUUCAUGCUAUCACAUUUCCUUCCUUCCUUCCUUCUUCUUCGCUGUUUUCUUUUCUUCCUUUCUUUUCUGGCUUCUUCACUGUGUAUCUUAAUCUAUCCGUAUCUACACACAUAACGUUCACCAAUGUCAAUAUUGGUUAUUUCUGGGCAGGGAGGACUGGGGACCUUGCGGCUCAUCUCUUUGCAGGGCUUAGUUUUUUAAACACUAAAGAGCAUGCAUCACUUUUAUAAAAGGUAAUCGUUAUUCAAAAAGAAACAAUAUCC